ACUCCUACGGGAGGCAGCAGUGGGGAAUAUUGGACAAUGGGGGACCGGUAGCAUCAGCCAUGCCGCGCUGUGUGAAGAAGGCCUUAUGGUUGUAAAGCACUUUAAGCGAGGAGGAGGCUACUAGUAUUAAUACUACUGGAUAGUGGACGUUACUCGCAGAAUAAGCACCGGCUAACUCUGUGCCAGCAGCCGCGGUAAUACAGAGGGUGCGAGCGUUAAUCGGAUUUACUGGGCGUAAAGCGUGCGUAGGCGGCCAUUUAAGUCAAAUGUGAAAUCCCCGCGCUAACUUAGGAUUGGCAAUUCUGAUACUGGAUGGCUAGAGUAUGGGAGAGGAUGGUAGAAUUCCAGGUGUAGCGGUGAAAUGCGUAGAGAUCUGGAGGAAUACCGAUGGCGAAGGCAGCCAUCUGGCCUAAUACUGACGCUGAGGUACGAAAGCAUGGGGAGCAAACAGGAUUAGAUACCCUGGUAGACAUCA
RNAcentral lists this ribosomal RNA (475 nucleotides) under uncultured bacterium. RNAcentral's name for it is "bacterial SSU rRNA". It matches the Rfam family "Bacterial small subunit ribosomal RNA", at positions 335 to 799 of the family's 1533-position model. The record is from RNAcentral.